RNAcentral lists this ribosomal RNA (329 nucleotides) under uncultured eukaryote. RNAcentral's name for it is "partial 18S ribosomal RNA". It matches the Rfam family "Eukaryotic small subunit ribosomal RNA", at positions 1470 to 1796 of the family's 1831-position model. The record is from RNAcentral.
CCCUUAGAUGUUCUGGGCCGCACGCGCGCUACACUGACGAUGGCAACGAGUUUUUCCUUCGCCGAAAGGUGUGGGUAAUCUUUUGAAACAUCGUCGUGCUGGGGAUAGAUCAUUGCAAUUUUUGAUCUUGAACGAGGAAUUCCUAGUAAGCGCGAGUCAUCAGCUCGCGUUGAUUACGUCCCUGCCCUUUGUACACACCGCCCGUCGCUACUACCGAUUGAAUGGUUUAGUGCGGACUCCUGAUUGGCGCCGCCGCCCCGGCAACGGAGCAGCGGACUGCCGAAAAGUUGUUCAAACUUGAUCAUUUAGAGGAAGUAAAAGUCGUAACA